UUGGUGCCUCGCCGCGGCGACCGUCGGAGGUGGUCUUCCUCCCCCUCCUUACCUCUACCUCCCCUCUCAUCACCUGAGGAUGGCCUAGGGCCGAAAAUUUGUGCACACUUCUCUUCGUCGUCUUCUCCUCAUCAUCGUCGACUACAGCAUUGUCUUCAACAUCAUCUGGAGCCGUGGAUGCCAUCAUCAAGGUGGACCCAAACACGAUCAUCCUUCCGGCCGGAGUCGGUCUCAUCGAGCUGACGGAGCUGCGGAGCUCACGGGAGACUGUGAAACGCCUGUCAGUCUCCGCCGCCGACCUCCCGCGACUGAGGGGGCAGCUGCCGGAGGGCCUCAGACUCCUCCAUGUCAGAGGGCCGGAGGUGACGGGGCCGAGGUGGCCGGAAUGGAACCUGUGGG
This is a long non-coding RNA of Amphibalanus amphitrite, 399 nucleotides long. RefSeq lists it as uncharacterized. NCBI's taxonomy places the organism in Eukaryota, Metazoa, Arthropoda, Thecostraca, Balanomorpha, Balanidae. The transcript has 3 exons. The record is from RefSeq and is a predicted model, not a curated record.